GGAACAAAAUCCAGCAUCAUAAAACUGACGUGUGGCUAGCUGGACUGUACAUGGAUUUAUAACACAAUUAAGAAAAUACAAGUCAGUUUGAUGACGCUUUCUCUGCUGAGAAAAAAUAAAAUCAAAAUUUGCUUCUCCUUCGCCAAAUUUCCACCUCUCGAAUCAGAAAGAUACUGCCAGCGGUUCCUAGAGUCUGGCGGUGGUGACUGAUCGAAUUUUUGGUGGCGUUACUCUUGUUGGUCAUCUCCCUUAUGUUGAGGCGUUGAGCGAAGGGGCGUUUGAUCACUGAACUCCGGCAUGUCUGCUUUGGAGGCAAUGAGUAGUUGUGCUAAAGCCUCUUGUGGUGAAUCCAGAGACCGAGGAUGCAUAAGCGAACAAAGCAACUGAAUGUGAGAUUCAUACUGUUUUUCCAUUACUGCAUCAUUAUAAAUUUUGGAUAAACUUACACUUGGAAAGGCUGCUGCUCACGAUCUUUCUAAAUAGGGCUAAUACUUGAAAAUUACACUAAUUAUAUGUCAAUUUAGGUUUUUCCCACCAACUUUGAACGUGGUGGAAAAAUAUAUGAACUUUUUGUGUGUAACCAAUUUCUCAUGAUAAAGUACUAUGACAAAAUUUAAUUCUA
Molecule: non-coding RNA, 622 nt
Organism: Salvia hispanica
Lineage: Eukaryota; Viridiplantae; Streptophyta; Magnoliopsida; Lamiales; Lamiaceae
Source: RefSeq, a predicted model, not a curated record